This 253-nucleotide ribosomal RNA is filed under the name uncultured prokaryote. Its description in RNAcentral is "partial 16S ribosomal RNA". It matches the Rfam family "Bacterial small subunit ribosomal RNA", at positions 524 to 775 of the family's 1533-position model. The record is from RNAcentral.
GACGAACCGUGCGAACGUUAUUCGGAAUCACUGGGCUUAAAGCGCGUGUAGGCGGGUCGGUGCGUCGGCCGCUGAAAUCCCCCGGCUCAACCGGGGAAGGGGCGCCGAUACGACCGGCCUGGAGCGACGUAGGGGGAACUGGAACUUCCGGUGGAGCGGUGAAAUGCGUUGAGAUCGGAAGGAACGCCCGUGGCGAAAGCGAGUUCCUGGACGUCGGCUGACGCUGAGACGCGAAAGCUAGGGGAGCGAACGG